RNAcentral lists this ribosomal RNA (561 nucleotides) under uncultured Glomus. RNAcentral describes it as "partial 18S ribosomal RNA". The record is from RNAcentral. Lineage: Eukaryota; Fungi; Glomeromycota; Glomeromycetes; Glomerales; Glomeraceae.
UCUAGCCCGUUUCCCGUAAGGCGCCGAAUGAUUCAUUAAAAAAUUAUCAUCCGAUCCCUAGUCGGCAUAGUUUAUGGUUAAGACUACGACGGUAUCUGAUCGUCUUCGAUCCCCUAACUUUCGUUCUUGAUUAAUGAAAACAUCCUUGGCAAAUGCUUUCGCAGUAGUUAGUCUUCAAUAAAUCCAAGAAUUUCACCUCUGACAAUUGAAUACUAAUGCCCCCAACUAUCCCUAUUAAUCAUUACGUCGAUCUUAGAAACCAACGAAAUAAGAUCAAACGUCCUAUUUCAUUAUUCCAUGCUAAUGUAUUCAAGCCAAAGCCUGCUUUAAACACUCUAAUUUUUUCAAAGUAACAGUCCUGAUUCCCCACGACACCAAGUUAAUGACAUCAUGCUUCGUCAGAAGGGAGAAACCAAUUGUACCAGUGCGUACCGUUGGCACGACCAAUAAAUUGAUCCCGAAAUUCAACUACGAGCUUUUUAACUGCAACAACUUUAAUAUACGCUAUUGGAGCUGGAAUUACCGCGGCUGCUGGCACCAGACUUGCCCUCCAGGGCGGAU